AGAAGCUACAAAGGGCUUACGGUGGAUGCCUUGGCGUCAGAUGCCGAUGAAGGACGUGGCUGACUGCGAAAAGCUCGGGGGAGCUGUCUAGCAAGCGAGGAUCCCGGGAUGUCCGAAUGGGGAAACCCGGCUGUGUUAAUCCACAGUCACUCUGGUUUGAAUAUAUAGGACCAGGAGAGGGAACCAGGGGAAUUGAAACAUCUUAGUACCCUGAGGAAAGUAAAGCAAACGCGACUCCCUUAGUAGCGGCGAGCGAAACGGGAAGAGCCUAAACCGUUAUGGUGGAAUAACCCUAUGGUGUUGCCGUAGCGGGGUAGUGGGGCGCAUAUGACCGAGCAUGGGAUUGGUCGAGGAGUUACAAAAUUGUCGAUUAGCCGAACCUAGCUGGAAAGCUGGACUGUAAAGGGUGAAAGUCCCGUAGGCGAAAAUCGUUCAAUCUCCUAAUGAUGUCCCCGAGUAGCACGGAACCCGUGAAAUUCUGUGUGAAUCCGCGAAGACCACUUCGUAAGGCUAAGUACAUUCUGACGACCGAUAGCGCAUAGUACCGUGAGGGAAUGGUGAAAAGUACCCCGGUGAGGGGAGUGAAAUAGUACCUGAAACCGUAAGCCUACAAGCAGUCGGAGUCCUUCGGGAUGACGGCGUGCCUUUUGAAGAAUGAGCCAGGGAGUUAGUGAUACGUGGCAAGGUUAACCUGUUGAGGGGAAGCCGAAGCGAAAGCGAGUCUUAAUAGGGCGUUGAGUCGCGUGUUCUAGACCCGAAGCCGAGUGAUCUAUCCAUGGCCAGGUUGAAGCGAGGGUAAGACCUCGUGGAGGACCGAACCCACCAGGGUUAAAAACCUGGGGGAUGAGCUGUGGAUAGGGGUGAAAGGCCAAGCAAACUCGGUGAUAGCUGGUUCUCGCCGAAAUAGCUUUAGGGCUAGCGUUGGACGUUCAGCAUUAGUGGUAGAGCACUGAUUGGGAUAGGGGGCCUACAAGCUUACCGAACUCAGUUAAACUCCGAAUGCUAAUGUUCCAGAGUCCAGCAGUCAGUCCAUGGGGGAUAAGCUUCAUGGACAAAAGGGAAACAGCCCAGACCGCCAGCUAAGGUCCCUAAAUGUGUGCUAAGUGGAAAAGGAUGUGGGAUUGCCCAGACAGCCAGGAGGUUGGCUUAGAAGCAGCCACCCUUGAAAGAGUGCGUAAUAGCUCACUGGUCGAGUGGUCCUGCGCCGAUAAUGUAGCGGGGCUAAGCACACUACCGAAGCUGCGGAUUUCAGUAUUACUACUGGAGUGGUAGGCGAGCGUCGUGUCGUGAUUGAAGCAGUGGGGUAACCCAACUGUGGACGUGGCACGAGUGAGAAUCCUGGCAUGAGUAGCGAAAGAGGGGGGAGGAACCCCUCCGCCGAUUGUUCAAGGUUUCCGGGGGAAGGCUCAUCCUCCCCGGGUAAGUCGGGACCUAAGGCGAGGCCGAAAGGCGUAGUCGAUGGACAACGGGUUGAUAUUCCCGUACCACGGGUGUCGCGUUCGGGCCGAUAUUUUGUUGCUAAGACAGCUUUCGGGCUGUUGACCCACGAGGUAAAGGUCAGCGAUGCGGUGACGGAGAAGGGUAGCUCAUCCCAGGCGAUGGUAGUCCUGGGGCAAGUGCGUAGGGGGGUUAGUAGGUAAGUCCGCUAACCGUGAACCCUGAGACAUGAUGCGGAGCCAUAAGGCGAACUGAGUAAUCCCAUGCUUCCUAGAAAAACCGCUAGCGAGUGGCACACGUGCCCGUACCCAUAACCGACUCAGGUGAACAGGUAGAGAAUACCAAGGCGAUCGAGAUAACUCUGGUUAAGGAACUCGGCAAAUUACCCCCGUAACUUCGGGAGAAGGGGGGCCUCGUUAGGGUGAUAGGCUUCUCGCCUUGAGCUCGAGGAGGCCGCAGAGACCAGGCCCAAGCGACUGUUUACUAAAAACACAGGACGGUGCGAAGUCGCAAGACGAUGUAUACCGUCUGACGCCUGCCCGGUGCCGGAAGGUUAAGAGGAGCUGUUAGCUUCGGCGAAGCGGCGAAUUUAAGCCCCGGUAAACGGCGGCCGUAACUAUAACGGUCCUAAGGUAGCGAAAUUCCUUGUCGGGUAAGUUCCGACCUGCACGAAUGGCGUAACGACUUGGGCACUGUCUCAACCAGAGACUCGGCGAAAUUGCAUUAUGAGUAAAGAUGCUCAUUACCUGCGGCAGGACGGAAAGACCCCGUGGACCUUUACUGCAGCUUGACGUUGGAUUUUGGUAUUGGUUGUGUAGGAUAGGUGGGAGGCUUGGAAACUGGAUCGCUAGGUUCGGUGGAGCCACCCUUGAAAUACCACCCUUCUAAUAUUGAAAUUCUAACCCUGGCCCAUUAUCUGGGUCGGAGACAGCGUCUGGUGGGCAGUUUGACUGGGGCGGUCGCCUCCUAAAGAGUAACGGAGGCGCCCAAAGGUUCCCUCACGUUGGUUGGCAAUCAACGGUUGAGCGCAAGGGUAUAAGGGAGCUUAACUGCGAGACUUACAGGUCGAGCAGAAACGAAAGUUGGGCCUAGUGAUCCGACGGUGGCAUGUGGAAGCGCCGUCGCUCAACGGAUAAAAGGUACCCCGGGGAUAACAGGCUUAUCUUGCCCAAGAGUCCAUAUCGACGGCAAGGUUUGGCACCUCGAUGUCGGCUCAUCGCAUCCUGGAGCCGGAGCAGGUUCCAAGGGUUGGGCUGUUCGCCCAUGAAAGCGGUACGUGAGCUGGGUUUAGAACGUCGUGAGACAGUUCGGUCACUAUCCGCCGCAGGCGUAGGAAAAUUGAGGAGAGUUGUCCCUAGUACGAGAGGACCGGGAUGAACACACCUCUGGUGUGCCAGUUGUACUGCCAAGUGCAUGGCUGGUUGGCUACGUGUGGAACUGAUAACCGCUGAAAGCAUCUAAGCGGGAAGCAGGCUUCAAGAUGAAUUUUCCCACUGGGUUAACCAGGUAAGACCCCUUGUUAGACCACAAGGUUGAUAGGCCGGAUGUGUACGCACAGCAAUGUGCUUAGCUGACCGGUACUAAUAGGUCGAGGGCUUCUUUUUC
This 3042-nucleotide ribosomal RNA is filed under the name Acidimicrobiia bacterium UBA2766. RNAcentral's name for it is "bacterial LSU rRNA". It matches the Rfam family "Bacterial large subunit ribosomal RNA". Lineage: Bacteria; Bacillati; Actinomycetota; Acidimicrobiia. The record is from RNAcentral.